This 328-nucleotide ribosomal RNA is filed under the name uncultured Janthinobacterium sp. RNAcentral describes it as "bacterial SSU rRNA". It matches the Rfam family "Bacterial small subunit ribosomal RNA", at positions 111 to 442 of the family's 1533-position model. The record is from RNAcentral. Lineage: Bacteria; Pseudomonadati; Pseudomonadota; Betaproteobacteria; Burkholderiales; Oxalobacteraceae.
UAAUAUAUCGGAACGUACCCUGGAGUGGGGGAUAACGUAGCGAAAGUUACGCUAAUACCGCAUACGAUCUAAGGAUGAAAGUGGGGGAUCGCAAGACCUCAUGCUCGUGGAGCGGCCGAUAUCUGAUUAGCUAGUUGGUAGGGUAAAAGCCUACCAAGGCNUCGAUCAGUAGCUGGUCUGAGAGGACGUCCAGCCACACUGGAACUGAGACACGGUCCAGACUCCUACGGGAGGCAGCAGUGGGGAAUUUUGGACAAUGGGCGAAAGCCUGAUCCAGCAAUGCCGCGUGAGUGAAGAAGGCCUUCGGNUUGUAAAGCUCUUUUGUCAG